AGAGUUUGAUCCUGGCUCAGGAUGAACGCUAGCGACAGGCUUAACACAUGCAAGUCGAGGGGCAGCGGGGUUGUAGCAAUACAACUGCCGGCGACCGGCGCACGGGUGAGUAACACGUAUGUAACCUGCCCUCUGCAGGGGGAUAAGCGGAAGAAAUUCCGUCUAAUACCGCAUGAUACAAUUUGGAGACAUCUCCGGGUUGUCAAAGGAGUGAUUCGGCAGAGGAUGGGCAUGCGGCGCAUUAGCUAGUCGGCGGGGUAACGGCCCACCGAGGCUACGAUGCGUAGGGGUUCUGAGAGGAAGGUCCCCCACACUGGUACUGAGACACGGACCAGACUCCUACGGGAGGCAGCAGUGAGGAAUAUUGGUCAAUGGGCGGAAGCCUGAACCAGCCAAGUCGCGUGAGGGAAGACGGUCCUAUGGAUUGUAAACCUCUUUUGCAGGGGAGCAAGGCGCGGUACGUGUACCGCGAAGGAGAGUACCCUGAGAAAAAGCAUCGGCUAACUCCGUGCCAGCAGCCGCGGUAAUACGGAGGAUGCGAGCGUUAUCCGGAUUUAUUGGGUUUAAAGGGUGCGCAGGCGGACUGUUAAGUCAGCGGUAAAAUGUCGGUGCUCAACACCGGCCGGCCGUUGAAACUGGCAGCCUUGAGUGAGCGAGAAGUAUGCGGAAUGCGUGGUGUAGCGGUGAAAUGCAUAGAUAUCACGCAGAACUCCGAUUGCGAAGGCAGCAUACCGGCGCUCAACUGACGCUCAGGCACGAAAGCGUGGGUAUCGAACAGGCUUAGAUACCCUGGUAGUCCACGCAGUAAACGAUGAAUGCUCACUGUCCGGGCCGUUUAAGGCCUGGGUGGUCAAGCGAAAGCGUUAAGCAUUCCACCUGGGGAGUACGCCGGCAACGGUGAAACUCAAAGGAAGUGACGGGGGCCCGCACAAGCGGAGGAACAUGUGGUUUAAUUCGAUGAUACGCGAGGAACCUUACCCGGGCUCAAACGGAAGGGGACAGUAUGAGAAAUCAUACAUUCCUUCGGGACCGCUUCCGAGGUGCUGCAUGGUUGUCGUCAGCUCGUGCCGUGAGGUGUCGGCUUAAGUGCCAUAACGAGCGCAACCCCUAUCGACAGUUGCUAGCAGGUAAAGCUGAGGACUCUGUCGAGACUGCCGGCGCAAGCUGUGAGGAAGGCGGGGAUGACGUCAAAUCAGCACGGCCCUUACGUCCGGGGCGACACACGUGUUACAAUGGCAGGUACGGCGGGAGGCCACCCGGCGACGGGGCGCAGAACCCGAAAACCUGUCUCAGUUCGGAUUGGAGUCUGCAACCCGACUCCAUGAAGCUGGAUUCGCUAGUAAUCGCGCAUCAGCCACGGCGCGGUGAAUACGUUCCCGGGCCUUGUACUCACAGGCCGUCA
This 1402-nucleotide ribosomal RNA is filed under the name uncultured bacterium. Its description in RNAcentral is "16S ribosomal RNA". It matches the Rfam family "Bacterial small subunit ribosomal RNA". The record is from RNAcentral.